Molecule: long non-coding RNA, 1283 nt
Organism: Nyctereutes procyonoides (raccoon dog)
Lineage: Eukaryota; Metazoa; Chordata; Mammalia; Carnivora; Canidae
Exons: 3
Source: RefSeq, a predicted model, not a curated record
GCCAUCUUACAAUAGUGUGGUCAUGUAAGGACUCCUCAACUCGCCUUUCUCAUCACCCUGCUCUUCGCCACUCUUUUGUAUUCUAGCCCUGAAAGGAUCAAAAACAAUAGGGAGGAGGACAUGGAUCCCCGGAAAUGGGUCAUGAUGGAGUAUUUCUAGAAAAGUUUACCAAGUGGAUUCUGGGCACCCAACACCAGGGGGCCCAUAAGAGAAGCCAAGGAUGUUCCUACUAGAGUCAUAUACACAAGAAGAACACCACACUCCAGACAGGUGUGUCUAGUACAGAGAGAAGCCGGACUGGCAUUCCCCAGAAAUAGGACAUUAUGCACACACAUGCAUGCACACGGACACACACACACACACACACACACACACAAACACGGUAUUCUAAAAGUCUUAGUGCAGUUUUAAACUUUCAUAACUUUGAAAGUAUGAAUGCUACCAACUUACAAAAAUCAUGUGAAAGGCCAAUUAUUUAAAUGUUGUCUAUUCUUCUAUGCUAUACUUAUUAGAGUUCUACAAUCUUUUGUGAAUUUUGAAGAACGUUUUUAAUUUUAACUUUUUGUUUCAGUCAACAUUGCCAUGUUCAGUCAGAGGUGCUGAAAGGUUUUAUAAUAUAUGACAUGCCUACAAUCCAUACAGCAAAUGAGCCAUAUCAUACAAGAAACGUGCAACUAAAAUCUUUGCGUGUUCUACUGUUAAAACUACAUCACUCCAAACUAAGAUUGUAGCACUGGCUUUCUUUUAAAUUAAAAAAAAAAAUACCUAAAACACUACUUUUUGUUAAUACCAAUUCAAUCUUAUCUUCUUGGAUUCAGUUCAUUCUGCUAAAAUCCUUAUGGAUCCUUGUUUUCCUACCAGAUGAUUUCAUCCACACACCAUCAAUGUUCUCAAAUGGACAUUUCUAGCCACACUAAACUAUACAGAACCCACAUCAGAACCCCAUUGGCAUGACUUUCAGCACAUAGUCCCUUCUAUCAGCAUGACCUUAUGGGCCAACUCUAAUAGAGAUUUCCUCCACACACUGACAUCAAUCUAUAAAUCAAUACCUCUUGGACAAGACAGUUCUAGCAAUUAAAAACACAAUGACCUAUGUCCUUCAGACCAUAUAUUUUUAUCUUAGUCAAAAGGAUUUCAAGAGAAGUUCUGUCAAGUGUACCAACGCACUGCUCACAUGAUCUCACAGCAUUCUUCUGACCUACCAGCAAGAAAUCAUCCUGGUAACGGAACUUCUCCGGUCCACAUGCAAUAAAAAUGUCAUCGUCACCAAAAAAGUCCUGAAG